UAUUAAGUAAUAGUGAUGCAGUAAUACCAGUCUACAAUGCAGUUCUGUUCUUACGUUACAGAAGCAGAUGCACUUUUGUCAGAAAUGGUGUCUGUGGUAUCAUUCACGAGGCAAUUGUUGCAACAUUGAAGAAUGUGAUUGCAAUAUUUGCCAUUUUAUAUAUGUUAACGGAAGCUGUUGACUGGUUCAGUAGUCAUCCACUGGUAUUGAAAAACGGAAUAGGAACAAUAGGCGUUUCUCUCGGUGGAGAAAUUGGACUGUGCAUGGCUGCUUACACAAGAAACAAACACAAGAUAAAGGCCGUGGUUUGCAUCAAUGGCAAUUCUAUCCACGGUUCAUUCAUACAGUAUGGGGAUAAGCCUUUUCCUAAUAGGAGGAUAU
Molecule: long non-coding RNA, 381 nt
Organism: Priapulus caudatus
Lineage: Eukaryota; Metazoa; Priapulida; Priapulimorpha; Priapulimorphida; Priapulidae
Exons: 3
Source: RefSeq, a predicted model, not a curated record